RNAcentral lists this ribosomal RNA (254 nucleotides) under uncultured bacterium. RNAcentral's name for it is "partial 16S ribosomal RNA". It matches the Rfam family "Bacterial small subunit ribosomal RNA", at positions 524 to 776 of the family's 1533-position model. The record is from RNAcentral.
UACGUAGGGUGCGAGCGUUGUCCGGAAUUAUUGGGCGUAAAGAGCUCGUAGGCGGUGUGUCGCGUCGACCGUGAAAACCUGGGGCUUAACUCUGGGCGUGCGGUCGAUACGGGCAUCACUGGAGUUCGGCAGGGGAGACUGGAAUUCCUGGUGUAGCGGUGAAAUGCGCAGAUAUCAGGAGGAACACCGGUGGCGAAGGCGGGUCUCUGGGCCGAUACUGACGCUGAGGAGCGAAAGCGUGGGGAGCGAACAGG